Molecule: transfer RNA, 91 nt
Filed under: Arenimonas sp.
Lineage: Bacteria; Pseudomonadati; Pseudomonadota; Gammaproteobacteria; Lysobacterales; Lysobacteraceae
Also listed under: 1 other name
Description: tRNA-Ser
Rfam family: tRNA
About the family: Transfer RNA (tRNA) molecules are approximately 80 nucleotides in length. Their secondary structure includes four short double-helical elements and three loops (D, anti-codon, and T loops).
Source: RNAcentral
GGAGAGAUGGCCGAGCGGUUUAUGGCAGCAGUCUUGAAAACUGCCGUGGGUUCAUAGCCCACCGUGGGUUCGAAUCCCACUCUCUCCGCCA